GCUUACGGCCAUACCAACCUGGCUAUUCCCGAUCUCAUCUGAUCUCGGAAGCUAAGCAGGUUUGGGCCUGGUUAAUACUUGGAUGGGAGACCGCCUGGGAAUACCAGGUGCUGUAAGCU
Carassius auratus (goldfish) is the source of this 119-nucleotide ribosomal RNA. The record is from Ensembl. Lineage: Eukaryota; Metazoa; Chordata; Actinopteri; Cypriniformes; Cyprinidae.